This 452-nucleotide long non-coding RNA is filed under the name Fukomys damarensis (Damara mole-rat). RNAcentral describes it as "lncRNA (ENSFDAG00000033491.1)". The record is from RNAcentral. Lineage: Eukaryota; Metazoa; Chordata; Mammalia; Rodentia; Bathyergidae.
CUCUGGCCCAUGCCUCUUGACUCACUCCUACGGAGGAAGAGCCGUGUUCCCAACACGUUGAGCGCUGUUUCUGUCCCUCUGCACCUGGCCUCUGUCCUCUGCAGCAGCUCUUAACCAAUUUUCGCUUGGAUCUGAGUGGUGUGAAGCUGCCCGGCACUGAGAGCUGCGUGACUGCCAGUCGGCUUGAGGAUGACUCCCUCUGCCACACAGAAGCCCAUGGAAACACCCCGACGUGCAGCACAGCAGAAGGUGCACAACUUCUGGCUAUUCCACCAAUACGCAGACUACACAGUGAGUUCAGUUGUGAAUCACCAGAAAGUCUUAUGCCACUGCCACUCAACAGUUACCACUUACAGGUGACUGCUAUCUACAUUCACUACUACAUUUCACUAAGAGAUGCAAGAUGUGAUUUUCUGAUUGUUUUUACUUAUUUAUUUUUCUCUUCCAUAUAG